GUCCACGCCCUAAACGAUGUUCUCUGGCUUUUCCGAGUAUCGACCCUCGGAGAGGCGUAGCUAACGCGUUAAGAGAACCGCCUGGGAAGUACGGCCGCAAGGCUAAAACUCAAAGGAAUAGACGGGGACUCGCACAAGUAGUGGAUCAUGUGGUUCAAUUCGACGGUAACCGAAAACCUUACCAGGGUUAGACAUCCUAACGAAAUCUGCCAGAAACGGUAGACCCCGCAAGGCGGUAGGACAGGUGCUGCAUGGCCGUCGU
Molecule: ribosomal RNA, 262 nt
Filed under: uncultured bacterium
Lineage: Bacteria
Description: partial 16S ribosomal RNA
Rfam family: Bacterial small subunit ribosomal RNA
Source: RNAcentral